ACCGACCUCUAUUAGCAGUACCACCCCAAAUUAUCCCAACAGGCUGUGGCUUUUCCCCAUUCUGACCUGUUAAAAGUAUGAGGCUUCCGCUAUCACCUUCAAGGUCAAAAGUCUGCUCAUUCUCACCAACAACGAGAAAAUCGUUGUAGUUACAUUGUUGAUAUUAAAAUCAUCAGCAAACGGAAUAAAAGCCCCAUCUGCUCGCACAAACGUUUCUGCAGGAGGACCAAACCGUGAUGAUGUGACAUGUAAGGGAGUCGGGAAGCAAUGGAACAUCCAUUAGCACAAAUGUAAAGUUUAACAUGAAAUUUGGAGGCAAACAAAGAAAUUGGAACUGCAUUACCUGGAUUUAUACCAGCAAAGAUUCCAUACCAAAGGUCAUCUGUGAUAAAUGAGGUUGCCCUCUCUACAGCACCAAGGUACACACCAGGCCCAAGGCUGGG
This is a long non-coding RNA of Hibiscus syriacus, 443 nucleotides long. RefSeq lists it as uncharacterized. The transcript is spliced from 3 exons. The record is from RefSeq and is a predicted model, not a curated record. NCBI's taxonomy places the organism in Eukaryota, Viridiplantae, Streptophyta, Magnoliopsida, Malvales, Malvaceae.